Molecule: long non-coding RNA, 270 nt
Filed under: Felis catus (domestic cat)
Lineage: Eukaryota; Metazoa; Chordata; Mammalia; Carnivora; Felidae
Description: lncRNA (ENSFCAG00000053629.1)
Source: RNAcentral
AUGCUUCUGGUUCCAGGGGAGGGAGCUGAAGAUUAAAUCCUGGAGUCUGCCCCAUUAGAAGAGCAGCAGCCUGGUUUCUGGUGACUACAGCAGCAGCCUUCUACCUGAAGACUGACACUGAGCCCGCUAACCACACAAGCCUCCAGUCGGAGUAAUAAAGACGUGAAAUGCCAUGUUCCAUGGCCUAACAAAGUUGGAGAGGGGAAUAACAGGUAUGGAAUGAAAUGAGAAGUAAAGAGAAAUAUUAAAGAACCCACGGUGAAUAAAUAG